GACAAUUGAGUAUUUCGCGAUUAAAAGUGUCGGUAAAUCUCAGAAAAACAAGGUUCUUCCAGAAGUGAGUUAUUAUUAUUCCUGUUAGUUAAUUAUUAAUAGCAUUCAUGUAAUUUCUUUAGUUUUCUAUCAGAUGUUAAGUUGUAUUGUGUUGUUGAUUGCAAAAACUCGCGAAUUACGCUUUUUAUUCUUCUGCAAGUUAGGAUUCUUCACACUUUGGAUCACCAAAAUUUGCUCAAUUUUUAUUCAUGCUAGAGUGAUGGUUCCUAGGAAUCAUAUGCACUAUGUGGAAAACGGUAACUCUUCAUUGCAUCACAAAGGUAUGAGCAUGUAGAAAGCUAGCAUGGGGUGAAACAGGAUGAGAGUCUCAAUAAUUCAAACUGUGGUGAAGUCGUGCAGACUGCCUCAACUCCUACAACUGCCAAUUACUCUCUAGAAAAAGUAGAAACAUGAUUUGAUUUUUAUCCUUGUUUAUAAUGAUUGGUUUGUAUGAAAUUUGUGCAGAGAAAGAGUGUUUGUGCCGACUGUCGCACUUGAGUUAGAUUUUUUCUGUGCAACUGGAGUCACUUUUGAGAACACAGUGGUUGCAUCAGCAGGUGGCAAAGGAAUGCAGGUUGCUGAAGGUUUAGAUGAUUUGAAGAUAGUACUGCUUAUUGAGUUCAUAGUUUUUACCUCUGUCUUAUAUAUGUUGGUCCAUUGUUGAUUCAUAGUUUUAUUGAGUUCACAUCAAGGAAAGAUAGUACUACUGGUGAAGGUAUUGUUUUGAUAUUGAUCCUUUUUGUAGCAAAAUCAACUGAAGUGCUUAGUGCCCAUCAAUACAACUUCCAAUUUCAGAAACUCGGUAUGCUUAUUCGCUCAAGCAUAAUCACUUCGGUUUACAAAAAGGGUUUAAGAUUGUCGAGUUCUUCAAGACAAACUCAUGGAACAGGACAGAUUGUGAAUCAUAUGGCUGUUGAUGCUCAACAACUCUAUAUGAUGAUGCAGUUACAUCCUAUAUGGUUGAUGCCAUUGCAAGUUACUGCUGCACUGGUUCUUAUAUAUAGCUAUAUUGGUGUAUCUACUGUUGCAGCAUUUCUUGGAUCUGCGGUAGUAUUUUUCUUCACGACAUAUUAAACUAAGAGUAGUAAUGGUUUCUAGUUUCAGAUAAUGACGAGCCGCGAUUUGAGACUGAAGGCAACAAAUAAAUUGCUUAACAAUAUGCGUGUGAUUAAGAUUCAAGCGUGGGAAGAGUAUUUUGUUAACAAAAUUCGACAAUUUCGUGAAGCGGAGCAUGGAUGGAUUGUGAAAUUCUUGUACUGCUGUUAACUAUGGAGUAUUGUAUGCGGUUGUAGGAACUGUUGGUUGAGGCAAGUCUUCAUU
Long non-coding RNA from Vicia villosa (hairy vetch), 1359 nucleotides. RefSeq lists it as uncharacterized. NCBI's taxonomy places the organism in Eukaryota, Viridiplantae, Streptophyta, Magnoliopsida, Fabales, Fabaceae. The transcript is spliced from 3 exons. The record is from RefSeq and is a predicted model, not a curated record.